AUUGAACGCUGGCGGCAGGCCUAACACAUGCAAGUCGAACGAGUGGCGGACGGGUGAGUAAUGUCUGGGAAACUGCCUGAUGGAGGGGGAUAACUACUGGAAACGUUAGCUAAUACCGCAUACCCUCGGCUUUGCCCAGAUGGGAUUAGCUAGUAGGUGGGGUAACGGCUCACCUAGGCGACGAUCCCUAGCUGGUCUUAGAGGAUGACCAGCCACACUGGAACUGAGACACGGUCCAGACUCCUACGGGAGGCAGCAGUGGGGAAUAUUGCACAAUGGGCGCAAGCCUGAUGCAGCCAUGCCGCGUGUAUGAAGAAGGCCUUCGGGUUGUAAAGUACGUUCAGCGGGGAGGCGUUACCCGCAGAAGAAGCACCGGCUAACUCCGUGCCAGCAGCCGCGGUAAUAC
This 406-nucleotide ribosomal RNA is filed under the name uncultured bacterium. RNAcentral's name for it is "partial 16S ribosomal RNA". It matches the Rfam family "Bacterial small subunit ribosomal RNA", at positions 30 to 526 of the family's 1533-position model. The record is from RNAcentral.